Molecule: ribosomal RNA, 292 nt
Filed under: uncultured bacterium
Lineage: Bacteria
Description: partial 16S ribosomal RNA
Rfam family: Bacterial small subunit ribosomal RNA
Source: RNAcentral
GUGCCAGCCGCCGCGGUAAUACGUAGGUGGCAAGCGUUGUCCGGAUUUAUUGGGUUUAAAGGGUGCGUAGGCGGUCUUAUAAGUCAGUGCUGAAAUAUCCCGGCUUAACCGGGAGGGUGGCAUUGAUACUGUAGGACUUGAGUAAAGUUGAGGUUGGCGGAAUUGACGGUGUAGCGGUGAAAUGCUUAGAUAUCGUCAAGAACACCUAUAGCGAAGGCAGCUAACUAAGCUUUAACUGACGCUGAGGCACGAAAGUGUGGGGAUCAAACAGGAUUAGAUACCCCCGUAGUCC